This 494-nucleotide ribosomal RNA is filed under the name uncultured bacterium. RNAcentral's name for it is "partial 16S ribosomal RNA". It matches the Rfam family "Bacterial small subunit ribosomal RNA", at positions 28 to 507 of the family's 1533-position model. The record is from RNAcentral.
GACGAACGCUGGCGGCGUGCUUAACACAUGCAAGUCGAACGGAAAGGCCUGCUUUCCCUUGUGGAUUGCGGGUACUCGAGUGGCGAACGGGUGAGUAACACGUGAGUUAUCUGCCCCCAACUUGGGUAUAAGCCUGGGAAACUGGGUCUAAUUCCCGAUAGUACUGCAGGGUGGUGCCUGUGGUGGAAAACGAUGUUCUAGUGGUUGGGGAUGAGCGCGCGGCCUAUCAGCUUGUGGGUGGGGUACAGCCCUACCAAGGCGGCGAGGGGGAGCCAGCGUGAGAGCGUGGACGGCGACAUUGGGACUGGGACACGACCCAGACUGCUACGGGCGGCAGCAGUGGGUGGUAGUGCACCAUAGGCGGAAGCCUGCUGCAGCGACGACGCGUAGGGGAUGACGGCCUUCGGGAUGUAAACUCCUUUCGACCGAGAGGAAGCCACCUGGUUGGAAGGGUGGUGACGGUAGUGAUAGAAGAAGCACCGGCUAACUACGUG